GGGCCCGCACAAGCGGUGGAGCAUGUGGCUUAAUUCGAGGCAACGCGAAGAACCUUACCCGGGCUUGAAAUAUAACGGACCGCCGAUGAAAGUCGGCUUUCCUUCGGGACUGUUAUACAGGUGCUGCAUGGCUGUCGUCAGCUCGUGCCGUGAGGUGUUCGGUUAAGUCCGGCAACGAGCGCAACCCGUGUCAUCAGUUGCCAGCAGGUAAAGCUGGGGACUCUGAUGAGACUGCCCGUGUUAAGCGGGAGGAAGGCGCGGAUGACGUCAAGUCCGUAUGGCCUUUAUGUCCGGGGCCGCACACGUGCUACAAUGGUGGGUACAAUGAGAUGCGAUGUCGCGAGGCGGAGCAAAUCUACAAAACCCACCCUAGUUCAGAUUGCAGUCUGCAACUCGACUGCAUGAAGCUGGAAUCGCUAGUAAAGGCGUAUCAGCUACGACGCCUUGAAUACGUUCCCGGGCCUU
This 465-nucleotide ribosomal RNA is filed under the name uncultured bacterium. RNAcentral describes it as "bacterial SSU rRNA". It matches the Rfam family "Bacterial small subunit ribosomal RNA", at positions 917 to 1382 of the family's 1533-position model. The record is from RNAcentral.